This is a long non-coding RNA of Vicia villosa (hairy vetch), 849 nucleotides long. RefSeq lists it as uncharacterized. The record is from RefSeq and is a predicted model, not a curated record. The transcript has 3 exons. NCBI's taxonomy places the organism in Eukaryota, Viridiplantae, Streptophyta, Magnoliopsida, Fabales, Fabaceae.
CACCAAAUUGAAAGAAUGGAGUUACUUAUCAUGUAGAGCAUUGGCAUUAACCGUUUUUUCUAUUGUCUUCUUCCUGCAAAGAAAAUUAACGAUCCCGAGGCCAAGAAAUUUCCUUUUUCCACUAACUCUAAUAACUUAAUAUUUUGAUUCCAUAUUUGUGUUUUGUAUUCAUAAUUUCUAAUUGGAAUCUAUAUACUUCCAGCCAAAAUAUUGAGAUUACAAAGUGUUUAUUCCUAAUCCCAAGGUUAAGAAACAAGAGGGAUAUGAUGACAUCCUUAAAGAAGUUUCAGACCCUGGUGCCAAAAAGAAAAUUAAGAACCACAACUAUAGUGGAAAGUGGAAUACACCAUUGAAUGACAACCCGAGUUUAGAUUCAUUCUUACAUUAACUGUAAAUACCAUUUAAUUGUUAUGUUGCUCAUUUUGUAGAAUCAUGGGUGUUAGUGUUGAUUCUUCUAGAACGCAAGCUUUGAGGAUGGAUAUGCAAAGAAGAGAGCACCAUGUUCGUAGGAUUUCGGCUCGAUGUAGAAAUAGUGAAUCAAGAACAGCCAGACACAAUUAUUAGGGAUAUUGUAUUUGAUCUUCAGCAAAAAGAAUAUGUCAAGUUCAAAAGAAAGAAUGAAGACCUUUUUGUAGAGCACACGGUGUUUGGUUCAAUGGUUUUGAGAAUGUGAAUACUUUUUUGCUUUCAAUUUAUUGUCAAUGGGAUAAAUUUCAUUUUGACAUCAUAAACACUUGGUAUGUUUUGGCAUUUUUGAUAAUUAAUUGUGACAUGAUAUUUGAUAUUUCUAUUAGUAUCAUUUUUGUGUAUAAGUCUAUGUAUUUACAUCAUUGUAUUAGUCCAAAAAUA